GGGGAUUGCAAUGGGCGCAAGCCUGAUGCAGCGACGGCCGCGUGAGGGAUGACGGCCUUCGGGUUGUAAACCUCUUUUCGCCAGGGACGAAGCGCAUGUGACGGUACCUGUCAUAAGAAGGACCGGCCAACUACAUGCCAGCAGCCGCGGUAAUACGUAAGGUCCGAGCGUUGUCCGGAAUUACUGGGCGUAAAGAGCUCGUACGUGGUUUGUCGCGUUGUUCGUGAAAACUCACAACUCAAUUGUGGACCUGCGGGCUAUACCGGCAAACUGCAUUACUGCAGGGGAGACUGGAAUUCCUGGUGUAGCGUUGAAAUGCGCAGAUAUCAGGAGGAACACCGGUGGCGAAGGCGGGUCUCUGGGCAGUAACUGACCCUGAGGACCAAAAGCGUGGGGAGCGAACAGGAUUAGAUACCCUGGUAGUCCACACCUUAAACGGUGGGUACUAGGUGUGGGUUUCCUUCCUUGGAAUCCGUGCCCUAGCUAACGCAUUAAGUACCCCGCCUGGGGAGUACGGCCGCCAGGCUAAAACUCACAGAAAUUUACGGCUCAAAGGAAUUGACGGA
This 566-nucleotide ribosomal RNA is filed under the name uncultured Mycobacterium sp. Its description in RNAcentral is "bacterial SSU rRNA". It matches the Rfam family "Bacterial small subunit ribosomal RNA", at positions 359 to 936 of the family's 1533-position model. Lineage: Bacteria; Bacillati; Actinomycetota; Actinomycetes; Mycobacteriales; Mycobacteriaceae. The record is from RNAcentral.